RNAcentral lists this transfer RNA (66 nucleotides) under Nomada goodeniana. RNAcentral describes it as "tRNA-Asp". The record is from RNAcentral. Lineage: Eukaryota; Metazoa; Arthropoda; Insecta; Hymenoptera; Apidae.
AAAGAAUUAGUUAAAUAAUAACAUUAGAUUGUCAAUUUAAAAUUAAUUAAAUUUAAUUAUUUUUUA